Selaginella moellendorffii is the source of this 3048-nucleotide RNA transcript. It is a transcript of the gene named pentatricopeptide repeat-containing protein At3g09040, mitochondrial-like, with no coding region annotated. The record is from RefSeq and is a predicted model, not a curated record. Lineage: Eukaryota; Viridiplantae; Streptophyta; Lycopodiopsida; Selaginellales; Selaginellaceae. The transcript has 10 exons.
UUUAGGUUUCUUUGGAAUGAAUGAGGCGCAUUGCGCGACAAUGCGCCAUCGCUAAAACAGCUUUGAGCAUUCCUGGCGCCUCCAGGAUCGAAGAGCCGAGCGCGUUUCCUAGGCCGGGAUAUUCUACAUCAGAGCACUCGAGCGAAUUUCUGGAUGAGAGCUUGGCUUCCACGAGGACAAAGACGAAGAGCUCAACUAAAUCCACAGCAAGAAAAGAGCUCGACUCGAGAGAGCAUUCGAAUGGACUUUCAGCAAGGACGGGCUCACAAAAACACGAGAGAAAAUGCGCGUUCAUGGCCGGAUUGAAGUCAUGCUCCGCCUCCAAGGACGUCGAGAAAGGACGAAAAAUCCACCGCGAUGCCAUCGACGCCGGCCACGAAUCCGACUUGUUUGUUGCCACAGCACUGGUGGACAUGUACGCGAACUGUGGCAGCAUGGUAGAAGCUCGCAAAGUUUUCGACAAUAUGCUCCACCGCGACGUGGUUUCAUGGAACGCUCUCAUCCUCGGCUACGUCGAGAAUGGAAACAGCGAAGAGGCUCUGCGGCUGUUCGACGCCAUGCAAGCUUCCAAGCGAUGCUCACCGAGCUCCAGGACUUUCGUUGCGGUGCUCAUGGCCUACACACACCAGGCGACCAGAAACCAGGCUCGCCAGCUCGAGUUUCUAGAGAGCGGCAUGGCUCUUUACUCCCGCGCUGGCUCUCACGCAAACAACUUCGUCGCCGCGGCUCUGGUGGCUCUCUGUGCAAAGUGUGGGGGCAUGCAACAAGCCCGGAAAGUUUUCGACACCGUAGCUCGCCCCGACGUGAGCUUGUGGAACGUUUACAUUCUCGGCUAUGUGGAGAACGGGGAGAACGACGAAGCUCUGAGGCUUUUCUAUAGGAUGCAGCUGGAACCGAACGCUAGAACUGUCAUGGCGGCUCUCCUGGCUUGCGGGAACUUAGCAGCACAGGAAGAAGGAAUCAGGAUCGACGGGAUGAACUUAAAGGUGGAAGCGUUGCGGCAGGGUGUGGCUGUUCACUCGGUAGCUCGGCGGCACGGCUGUGACUCGCACAACUUCGUUGGAAACUGCUUGAUCGACAUGUACUCGAGGUGUGGCAGCGUGGUGGAAGCUCGCAGAGUUUUCGACAGCAUGUCGAGCAAGACAGUCAUCACUUGGACGGCGAUGAUGGUCGGAUACGAGCUAAACUCCGAGGCGGAGCUGGCUUUGGAGCUCUUUUCACAGAUGAGAAGCGGUCCGGAAGCUUGUGAGCCGGACGAGCGAGCAGUGGUGGCAGCUCUCACGGCUUGCGCGAGCUUGGCUGGAAAAGAAACCGGGCAGCUCAUCGAUGGAAAACAGCUUGUCAAGGUGGAGAGCUUGGAAAAGGGGAUGGCUAUUCACUCUCGGUCGCGAAGCAUGGAUAUCUUCAUUGCCACCUCUCUCAUCGACAUGUACGCAAAGUGUGGGAGCCUAGAGGACGCUCGCAGAGUCUUUGACGCCAUGGCUCACCACGACGUGGCGUCAUGGAACGUUCUUAUCACCGGCCAUGCGGAAGGUGGUGAAAGCGAGAGAGCUCUCGAGUUUUACGAUCGGAUGCAAGCUCAAGGCAUAUGUGCUCCAAACGCGACGACUUUAGUAGCGGCUCUCACUGCCUGCAUCGACAUCGCCGCGAAAGAAGAAGGGAACACCGACGAGUCAGGGAAAGGCGUGAGAUCCAGCUGCUUGGAGAGAGGAACAGCUUUGCAUCGCCAGGGAAAGCAACUGGAUUGCGAGUCGGACAUGUCCGUAGCAAACGCUCUACUGGAGAUGUACGCGAGGUGUGGUAGGCUGGAGGAGCUGUGGGUGGUUUUUCACUCCAUGCCAUGCCGGAACGUCUCGGCCUGGACGGCUCUUAUACUGGGACACGUAGAAAACGGCGAGGCCAAGGCAGCACUGGAACUCUUCGAGCGAAUGCAGGUGGAAGAUCAGUGCUCUCCAAAAGUUUGGACGUUUUCCUGCGCUUUCAGGGCCUGCCUGAUGCUGCUCGACUUGCGAGCCGGGAAAGUUCUCCACGCUGCUGCAUGCCGGAGGGGGCUCGAGGAUUCUCUGACGCUAGAGACGCUGCUCAUGGAUUUCUACGGGAAGUGUGGCAAGGCCCCUCAAGCUCAGCACGUCUUCGACUCGCGACUCACAAGGGACUCGCUAAGCUGGAACUCGCUGAUAUCGUGCUACAGCCUUCAAGGCGACUCCGAGCGUGUUUUCGAGCUCUUCUAUCAGAUGCUAUUGGAUCACGAGAGCGUCGCAGUGACGGCCGCCACCUUCGUCUCGGUUCUCACCACCUGCAGCCAUGCCGGACUCGUCGACGAUGGCAAGAAGUUUUUCCACUCGAUGCGGUCCAGGCACGGGAUGGAACCGGGGCUCGAGCACUACAACUGCAUGGUCGACAUGCUCGGCCGGGCAAACAGGUUUGACGAAGCAGUCGAGAUGGUGAAGACAAUGCCGCAUGAAGCAACGGCACUGACUUGGAGGACUCUUUUAUCAGCGUGUCAGACUUGGAAGAAUGUCGAGGUGGGAAAGCUUGCGUUUGAGGCUCUGGUGAAGCUGGACGAGAGCGAUUCGGCUGGAUAUGUUUUGAUGUCAAACAUCUACUCAGCAGCUGACGAAGAUUCUACUUUUGGGAAGGAGGAAAAAGUGAUCAGCGAGGCAAAGCUCUUGAUUUUCCAAAGUUUGGUGCCGCUGCAGUUUUAUCCGAGCCAUCCAUUCCUUUUUCGUGAACAAUUCUUUGACUUUGGGGUGGCGAAAUUCGUUGUUGAUAGAACUCAAUGGAGUGUGAACUGGAGGUUUUGAAAGAAAAGGUGUCACGAGCAGAAGACUCGCUCGGCUUGGCACCACGAUCAGCCUCCUCGAGCUGGACAAAAAUGUUAUGUUUGCGUUCGAGCAUCCGUUUUACACAGCUCUUUCGUUCCAAAAGGGAAAUCCAACUAACUCGAUCAGUCAGUCCAUCUCACGCUAAAAACUUCCAUUGAUUUCGAUCACCAAACUCUUGCAGGGAAUCUCGACAGUACCCAAAAGAAGGUUGCGAGAAAACAAG